AGCGCCGCCUCCACCCCUCCCCAUCACCUCCUCUCCCGGCUCUAGAUCGGCGAUCACCCCAGCGGUGCCCCUCCUCCCCUCCACUGGCUUCUCCCACCUCUCGCUCCUCAGCCUCUCCUCGACCCCCAUCUCUCCUUGCGGGAUUUCUCUCGUCCGCCCGACCCGAUCUAGAUCGAUGGAGGUGCCAUCGCCCUUGUGCCAACGCCGACGCUGCCGUUCGGUCGCUGACACCGAUGUAUUUCGCCUCUUCCUCGAUCUGUCUAGUUCAUGCUGUGAAGAGCCUUCCGUGAGGGUGGUCUUCAUCGUCGUCAACAACGGCAGCUGCGGCUUCAGAAGGGCUUUGUGAUGCUAGGAUUCCCCUUAUUUCUGUAAUUUGGUGAAUGGAUUGCCACUAUAAGGUUGGCUGAACUGAUGGAUCGGUUAAACUAGAAGUAGAUAAAGAUUAGUUACUUUCUUGUCCCUGAACUUGUUGGAAUCUACCGAUUAGUGUAAUAUGCAUCAGUUUGUACUGUAAGGACACUAGUUUCUGUGGCAUACAAGUCAAUGUAUGCAAACCACAGGCUAUUAAGAAAUAGCUAGGCCUCACUAGUUCAUUAUCUAGCACCUACCGUGAGUCUCAUGCUCGUGCUGGAGCAAGUUUCUCCUGCUUAUGCUUGUUCUAAUUCAAUAGUUCUGAUGCAUAUCAGUUUUGGUGAUCUGGUGGGAUUUUGGCAACACUUGCUGCUGCUAGUUAAAUAAAUAAACUUUACACAUGAGUGAGUUGCAAGUUUAUUUCUGCUUAUCACAUUAGCUGAGAGCCUAUUCUCUGGGUUGAUAACAGAAGGGUCUCCCCUUGAACAAAGUCCGAGUCUUCUCCGACAACCAUACCGAGCUGCUACUCCUGGAAACGUCCUCAGAUCCUCAGAGUUGCUGCCAGGCUGCCACUGGCCACAACCCCAAGUUGCUUCUCCUGUCGUUGGCGAUGUCCCUAACCUGCGGCUGUUGUCUUCGACUGUGACAUGCUGUUGCCGGUGAGGCCCCUCUUCACAUGAAGGAAGCGAUGCUGUGAGGCCCCUCUAACAUGCUGCAAUCAGAAGAUUGUAUUCCUGAAUUCAAUUUUAUUUAUAUGUGCUUGACUUUCUGGUAUGUAAUGAUCUCAAUCCACUACUAAACUAUCUACUUAUUUUGGUACGAUCAGUUUAUAUUUCAGUGGUUCAAUUAUUGGGCUAGCUAGAAAUCAAUACACGUGUAUUUACAAAUCCAGCAAUCACAAGUACAGGAGCAACUAAAGUGCAUGCUGGCAGGCAACAUGGUCCGUGUGGGCUUUGUCGAUGGCUGCUGCCGCUAGUGCUGCCUUGAAGUCCAGUAGUAAUGUAAGAGUUGCCCCUGCAAGGUCUGCAAUGAGCAUAUGCAGAUUUUGCCACAACUUGCUUCUAAUUCCAUGUGCAUUCGGUUAAAUUUCAUGGCAGUUUUUCCACACUACUGUACCUGUACAGUAAUGCUAGAAUUGCAGCAGACCCCUGCCAAUCAUUCUUCUUGACUAUUUCCUUAGAUGUAAACUGUAGUCAAUCAAUAUACCAUGAUUUAUGUAAUGUUAUCGACCUUGAGUUACUUGUGUUAUGACAUACAAGAUGUGUGAUGGUGUUGUAGGCAGAGACAACAGCGCAGGUGGCGGUAGCACGAGAUGGCACAUCAAGAAGCCAGAAGCGGGUGCCCAUCAGUCGCAAAAAAUAACAGGGUAUAAAUUUGGUUUGAUGUGGCAUCAUAAUUCUUGAUGUCCUGAGCGAUUCUACAAGUGGGAGGCUUCCUAUGAAGAUUAUGUGAAAGAGAUAGCAAGGAAGGAGAAGAAUGUUGCCCACUCCAUGAAGAAUGAUGAUCAGAAGAUCACAAAUGAACAACUUUACGUGUUGAUGUGUGGAAUUCAGCAAAUAAAUGCUGAGAUAUUGUGUGUUGCUAACAGAAAUAGUGGGCAUUUCUGAUGUGUGCAUUGUUAACAGUGGCUAUGCUGAAAUUGAUGUAGUUUUGUUGUUUGGCAAAUGUUAACUUGUAGUGAUCUAUCAAGUAUUAUUGAAAUAAAGUGAUUUUGCGUA
Molecule: long non-coding RNA, 2069 nt
Organism: Lolium perenne
Lineage: Eukaryota; Viridiplantae; Streptophyta; Magnoliopsida; Poales; Poaceae
Source: RefSeq, a predicted model, not a curated record